Molecule: long non-coding RNA, 2463 nt
Filed under: Salvia miltiorrhiza (redroot sage)
Lineage: Eukaryota; Viridiplantae; Streptophyta; Magnoliopsida; Lamiales; Lamiaceae
Description: long non-coding RNA (SMIL_LNC000625)
Source: RNAcentral
CCGUCCUUCAAUUUCUCGACGACGGCGCCGCCGUCGCCCCCUUCGUAGAGCAGAAGCUUCUGGUUGUAGUAGAAGGCGAGGUAGGGAAGAUCAAACGUCACUAAUUGGCACUCUUUUCUUCCGAUUAGUUUCUUGGGCUUAACAUAUGUUGUGUUGAGGAGUUUGACGCUUCCCACUUUAUUCUCACCAUUUGCAACUUCACCGGCCAUUAUACAAACUAAAUCUUUAAUUUUUGAAAUGUUUAGACAGCAGGAUUUGGUGUUAAAUGGAUUAUUGCAGAUGUGCUCAUAUUUAUAGUAAUAGAUCAGAGUUGAUGUAGUUGGGAUUGCAUUUAAUGGUUUUCAUGGGCGCAGUUGUAAGACAUUUAUUACAUUUUCUUUGCCACUGUUUUUUUUGGUGGGAGUUGAGUAAAGAUGCUUCUCAUAAUAAACUAUUUUCACCAACACAUCCUUUAUUAUUUAUUAAUUAAAUGUGCAAUUGUGUGUAUCAUACAAAAAAAAUUGUAGUCCUAAUUUUAAAUGUAUUCAUAAGAAUAUCCCAACAUUUUAUAAGUACUCCAUGUUUGAUCAAUAAUGUAUGUGAUUUGGCUUUGAAUAUUUUGGGUGUCAUGUUAGUGAUGAUUAUGGAUGUCAUCUUAGUGACUACAUAUUAUGUUUCCUUUCUAUAUUUGACUUGAAUUAUUUAAUACUACAUCUUGUAGCGCCCCAACUCCGGUGGGUUGGAAUACUACGAAAAUCAUAAAAAGAAGAAAAAUAAAUACAAAAACACAAAAAUAAAUGUUUUAGAAUGUCAUUAAUGCAAAAUUUUAGAGUUAAAUUUUUUUUUCUAACAACAUUUCGUUUAUAGAUCGCGCUCAUCUGAGCGCCGCAAUCAACCACUUAUAAUAAACAAAAGAUCGAGUNCCUAUUUUUAUGAAAAAAUUAAGUCAUUCAUGAAGAUGUGACGAUGGCAUAUGUUUAGGAUCAAAAAAAUUUAAACGCUAUAGUACAAAAUUAGCCUCGUGAUAGAAUUUGUAAAAUUAGUCUCGUGAUAUUAUUGAAAUAUUGUAGAACCUAAUAUCGACGCAUUGUGUACCAAUAUAGAUACAAAUUAAAAAGCAUAAUAUUAUGGACAAAAAGCUAAGGCGUUGUGACAUUUUCUAGCACUAUUGUAGUUUAAUAAUGAUAAUUUGGUUCCAAUAUGAUUCUUACACUAGAUCGAAAAUGAAAUCAAAUUCAAUCAUAAUAACUCCAUAAAAGUCACAAUAACUCCAUAGUACCAAAACAUUUCAUUAGGAUUAGUUCAUCACUAUUAACUUAUAGAGUGCUAUUAUAAUUAAAUUAAAUUAUAGAGUGCUAUUAAAGCUGACGUGACAAGUCGAAUGUUGCGAUGUGUAUUCAUUAGAUGUUUUAAAAAAUGAUCUCGUUUAGUAGAUGUCCUUACAAUAGAUUUUUUAAAACUAUCCGAUGAGUGCACAUCAAUAUUCCAACUUGAUAAUUUGGGGGAAAAUUGAAUUAGUGGUAAAUUUGCUACAAUACUAAAAUUCAUGUUUUUUUUUUACUCAUUUCAAAGUUCAUGUGCAAAACCAAAUUACCGCCAAAGUUGAUGUAUUUAAAUGCUAAUAAUCCUUAUUUUAAUAUAUUGUCCAUAUUGUAAACUAUUUUUUUAUUUUUAUUUUUAUUUUAUUUAAAUUAAAAAAGCAAAAAAUUACAAAAAAAUUAAUAACUAUAAUAUGGACAUUAUAGUAAAAUAACUAAAUCACUUUUAUUUUAAAAAAAUUACAUGAAUUAAAUUAUUUUCUAUUUAACUAAGUUAUGACUAAUCAUAAUGUGACUUCAUAAGAUUAAUUAAACUAUAAUCCAGAUACUGGAUCCAAGCGCACACACGCACUCAUUAGUACUUCAGGAAUUAAUAUAUAAAUUUAAAAGUUUGAGGUGUAUCAAAAGUUGGUGAAAAGCAUGGGAUCGGAAUGCUAUAAAUGAAAUAAAGCAAGAAAAUAGAAUUGAGUGUUACCUGCACCGCCAGCAAGGGGCGCUGCAGCCCCUCCAAAUUCAAGACUCCGUUGUAAGGCAGGAGCUCCUUGAAUUUGGAGAAGCCCUCCUCCGCCGUGAGCUCCGCCACGUCCAUGGCCUCGGCCGCCGCCUCGACAACCUCGACACCCUCCAUGUCAUCGUCGUACACCACCUUGAACACCCCAUCUUCAUCUUUCUCGAGCUUGCCAGCCAGCUGAUGAAACUCCUCCAACACUAAUGCCAGCCCGUCCUUCAAUUUCUCGACGACGGCGCCGCCGUCGCCCCCUUUGUAGAGCAGAAGCUUCUGGUUGUAGUAGAAGGCGAGGUAGGGAAGAUCAAACGUCACUAAUUGGCACUCUUUUCUUCCGAUUAGUUUCUUGGGCUUAACAUAUGUUGUGUUGAGGAGUUUGACGCUUCCCACUUUAUUCUCACCAUUUGCAACUUCACCGGCCAUUACAAACUACUAAAUCUU